UAUAUGGUGGAUAUGUGAAG
Molecule: non-coding RNA, 20 nt
Filed under: Rattus norvegicus (Norway rat)
Lineage: Eukaryota; Metazoa; Chordata; Mammalia; Rodentia; Muridae
Source: RNAcentral